This 1202-nucleotide ribosomal RNA is filed under the name human gut metagenome. Its description in RNAcentral is "bacterial LSU rRNA". It matches the Rfam family "Bacterial large subunit ribosomal RNA", at positions 1355 to 2569 of the family's 2925-position model. The record is from RNAcentral.
CUGAUCAACGCUAAUCGGAUCAGGGUUAGUCGGGUCCUAAGGCUCAGCCGAACGGUGAGGCCGAUGGCAGAACAGGUUAAUAUUCCUGUACUACCUUAAGGAGUGACGUGGAGACGGAGUCGUGACAGCGCCGCGGACUGACGGAAUAGUCCGUUGAAGGGUGUAGAUGCUGAUUGUUCCAGGCAAAUCCGGAGCAAGAGUCGAACCUGAUAGUAUGGAGCGUUCUUAGAACAAUCCAAUAGUGCGUGUAAUCAUACUUCCAAGAAAAUCCGCUAAACUUAAUCCUGCAGGUACCCGUACCGCAAACGGACACACGUAGUCGGGUUGAAUAUACUAAGGCGCUUGAGUGAUUCACGGUUAAGGAACUAGGCAAAUUGACCCUGUAACUUCGGGAUAAAGGGUCCCUACUGAGAGGUAGGGCGCAGAGAAUAGGUCCAGGCAACUGUUUAACAAAAACACAUGGCUGUGCGAAAUAGAAAUAUGAAGUAUACAGCCUGACACCUGCCCGGUGCUGGAAGGUUAAGAGGAGAGCUCAUCGCAAGAGAAGGCUUGAAUUGAAGCCCCAGUAAACGGCGGCCGUAACUAUAACGGUCCUAAGGUAGCGAAAUUCCUUGUCGGGUAAGUUCCGACCUGCACGAAUGGUGUAAUGAUCUGGACACUGUCUCAACCGUGAGCUCGGUGAAAUUGUAGUAUCGGUGAAGAUGCCGAUUACCCGCGAUGGGACGAAAAGACCCCGUGAACCUUUACUAUAGCUUAACAUUGAAUUUGGGUAAUUGAUGUGUAGGAUAGGCCGGAGACUUUGAAGCAGGUACGCCAGUAUUUGUGGAGUCGCCGUUGAAAUACGGCCCUUUGGUUGUUUGAGUUCUAACCCGCAGAAGCGGGGACACUGUAUGGUGGGUAGUUUGACUGGGGUGGUCGCCUCCAAAAGAGUAACGGAGGCUUCUAAAGGUACCCUCAGACCGAUUGGUAACCGGUCGUAGAGUGUAAUGGCAUAAGGGUGCUUGACUGGGAGACAGACAAGUCGAUCAGGUAGGAAACUAGAGCAUAGUGAUCCGGUGGUUCCGCAUGGAAGGGCCAUCGCUCAAAGGAUAAAAGGUACUCCGGGGAUAACAGGCUGAUCGCUCCCAAGAGCUCAUAUCGACGGAGCGGUUUGGCACCUCGAUGUCGGCUCGUCACAUCCUGGGGCUGGAGAAGGUCCCAAG